Molecule: ribosomal RNA, 548 nt
Filed under: uncultured bacterium
Lineage: Bacteria
Description: bacterial SSU rRNA
Rfam family: Bacterial small subunit ribosomal RNA
Source: RNAcentral
UGGGGAAUAUUGCGCAAUGGAGGGGAACCCUGACGCAGCCAUGCCGCGUGAAUGAAGAAGGCCUUAGGGUUGUAAAGUUCUUUCGGUAUUGAGGAAGGUUGAUGUGUUAAUAGCACAUCAAAUUGACGUUAAAUACAGAAGAAGCACCUGCUAACUCCGUGCCAGCAGCCGCGGUAAUACGGAGGGUGCGAGCGUUAAUCGGAAUAACUGGGCGUAAAGGGCACGCAGGCGGUUAUUUAAGUGAGGUGUGAAAGCCCCGGGCUUAACCUGGGAAUUGCAUUUCAGACUGGGUAACUAGAGUACUUUAGGGAGGGGUAGAAUUCCACGUGUAGCGGUGAAAUGCGUAGAGAUGUGGAGGAAUACCGAAGGCGAAGGCAGCCCCUUGGGAAUGUACUGACGCUCAUGUGCGAAAGCGUGGGGAGCAAACAGGAUUAGAUACCCUGGUAGUCCACGCUGUAAACGCUGUCGAUUUGGGGGGUGGGGUUUAACUCUGGCGCCCGUAGCUAACGUGAUAAAUCGACCGCCUGGGGAGUACGGCCGCAAGGUUA